AUACGUAGGCAGCAAGCGUUGUUCGGAAUUACUGGGCGUAAAGAGUGCGUAGGUGGUUGGCCAAGUUUGGUGUGAAAUCUCCCGGCUUAACUGGGAGGGUGCGCCGAAAACUGGUCAGCUAGAGUGCGGGAGAGGAUAGUGGAAUUCCUGGUGUAGCGGUGAAAUGCGUAGAUAUCAGGAGGAACACCUGAGGUGUAGACGGCUAUCUGGACCGUAACUGACGCUGAGGCACGAAAGCGUGGGGAGC
This 247-nucleotide ribosomal RNA is filed under the name uncultured bacterium. RNAcentral's name for it is "partial 16S ribosomal RNA". It matches the Rfam family "Bacterial small subunit ribosomal RNA", at positions 523 to 769 of the family's 1533-position model. The record is from RNAcentral.